RNAcentral lists this ribosomal RNA (346 nucleotides) under Helostroma bacarum. Its description in RNAcentral is "SSU rRNA". It matches the Rfam family "Eukaryotic small subunit ribosomal RNA", at positions 594 to 945 of the family's 1831-position model. Lineage: Eukaryota; Fungi; Basidiomycota; Exobasidiomycetes; Microstromatales; Microstromataceae. The record is from RNAcentral.
AUAGCGUAUAUUAAAGUUGUUGCAGUUAAAAAGCUCGUAGUUGAACCUUGGGCCUGGCCGGUCGGUCCGCUUCACGGCGUGUACUGUUUGGCCGGGCCUUCCUUCUUGGUGAUCUGGCAUGCUCUUUACUGGGUGUGUCAGGGAACCAAGACUUUUACUUUGAAAAAAUUAGAGUGCUCAAAGCAGGCAUUUGCCCGAAUAUAUUAGCAUGGAAUAAUAAAAUAGGACGUGCGGUCCUAUUUUGUUGGUUUCUAGGAUCGCCGUAAUGAUUAAUAGGGAUAGUUGGGGGCAUUAGUAUUCAGUUGCUAGAGGUGAAAUUCUUGGAUUUACUGAAGACUAACUACUG